Small nucleolar RNA from Prosopis cineraria, 90 nucleotides. RefSeq annotates it as small nucleolar RNA R24. The transcript has a single exon. The record is from RefSeq and is a predicted model, not a curated record. Lineage: Eukaryota; Viridiplantae; Streptophyta; Magnoliopsida; Fabales; Fabaceae.
CCUGCGGUGAUGAGCCUUUAACAUGUAAGAAGAAUCCCAAGUUGGAUUUCUUCUAUGAAAUAUGCUUGUUACGCUUGGCUUCUGAGCUUU